RNAcentral lists this long non-coding RNA (1246 nucleotides) under Athene cunicularia (burrowing owl). RNAcentral describes it as "lncRNA (ENSACUG00000000645.1)". The record is from RNAcentral. Lineage: Eukaryota; Metazoa; Chordata; Aves; Strigiformes; Strigidae.
CACAGACCUUCCAAAAUUCCAAAAAAGCAUCACUACUGGGCAGUUUUUGGGGAAGUCAAGCCAGCAAACAUGCAAAAUCAAAGACAAAUAGGGAGAUGAAUUCUCACACUGAUCCUCUGCUCCUGUCUAGCUCUAUGAGACCAUCUUCACAGGACCAAAAGGAGACUCAGAAGACAGAAGCUGCCCGGGACCCUGCUGGGAAGGGCUGGCUCCAGAGGCCUUUCCUUGCUCCAGCUGCAGCAGAUCCUGGGGAGAAACCUCCAGGUUUGACCUUCAGGGGCCCUUCACCUGCCUCAGUGCUGGAAUCCACCUCUGGCUAGAGCUCUUUUGGUUGGAGCCCUUCUCUUUCCUCACCCGGUUGUGGCAGGAAAGUUCAAGGUGUCCUGGCAGCAGAAAGCUCCUUUGCUCCACCCUCUGCCCUGCACACUGGCUCUCUGAGGUGAUCAAGGAUUUGCUGAACCAGAGCUGCCAGUGACAGCGACCUGGUCUGUGUGGCAGCUUGGGUGGGAGCUGGACCCCCGGCAUGAAGCACUUCUGCGAGCCCUGGGCAGCCUUCGCUGUGCUCUUCUUCGCCACUGUGACCUGGCAUUCCUGCUCAGCAGCAGCUGAAGACAUCUCCAAUGUUUCAACAAGCUCCAUGCUCACAACUGAGUACGAAUCACCAUGUCUUAACAUGAACUUCUGCACACAAGCAGCCAUGUGCUGCGCGACAGGUGUGGAUGAUUAUGGAUGGAUUGCAGCAGCCGUUGGCUGGAGCCUCUGGUUUCUGACUCUCAUCCUGCUCUGCGUGGACAAGGUCAUGAAACUCCGGCCUGACGAACCCAAAUAUUUCGUGGCCUGAAGCAGGGCAAGCCAGCAAGCAGCAGAACCCGGGACCAGUGAGGUGCAGACAGACUGACUGGCAUCUCAAGCACUUCCUAAGAAACAAAAAAGAAAGGGAACAUACCUUCAGCCAAAAUAGGCCAGAUCUAAAUGGGGCACCUACUGGGGCUUCAUCUUCCCGGCGGGUCAGAGCUGCCAGCCAAAGUGUAGAGCAGGCAAGUCCCUGCAAACCACCACAUAUGUCCCACAGUGCACAGAAAACUUUUCCCUGAGCAUUUCCAUGCUUUCUGUGAGUGCCCCAGGAGCGAUGAGAUGCUGAAGGACCAGUAACCAGCCUAUAGCACACUGCCUUAAGACAACCCAGUGCAUAACCUUUCAGUCUGAAACAUGAAGUGGGCAAAUAAAGCUAUUUUCUGGAGUAUCA